GAUGAAGAACGUAGCGAAAUGCGAUACGUAAUGUGAAUUGCAGAAUUCAGUGAAUCAUCGAAUCUUUGAACUCACAUUGCGCCCGCCAGCACUCUGGCGGGGAUGCCUGUUCGAGCGUCAUUUCAACCAUCAAGCCCCAGGCUUGCGUUGGAGCCCUGCGGCUGCCGCAGCCUCCUAAAAGCAGUGGCGGGCUCGCUAUCACACCGAGUGCAGUAGAUUACUCUUCGCUCAGGGCGUGCAGCGGGUUCCGGCCGUGAAACCCCCUACUUUUAAAGGUUGACCUCGGAUCAGGUAGGAAAACCCGCUGAACUUAAGCAUAUCAAUAAGCGGAGGA
This 334-nucleotide unclassified non-coding RNA is filed under the name soil metagenome. RNAcentral's name for it is "partial contains 5.8S ribosomal RNA, internal transcribed spacer 2, and large subunit ribosomal RNA". The stretch from base 1 to 120 matches the Rfam family "5.8S ribosomal RNA", at positions 35 to 154 of the family's 154-position model. The record is from RNAcentral.